GCUGAGGAUCAACAAUCAUCACAACUGUGUCCAGGGGGAGAUGAUCUGUGUGUUGGCGCCAUCUCUGGCGGGUUUGAAGAGAGGGCAAGUAGUUUCUGAUGAACUGUGUCCAGAAGUGGUCGGCCAUCAUCUGGCAAUGACGCCAGCGCCUCCUGGUGAGGGUGUCAGGAGCAUAGGCAACUUGUGGAAGAGAGGCAUCCUGCCGCCCCAUCAACAACAUGCUGGGCGUCACUGGGUCUGGAUCGGCCACAUCCGAGGAUACAUAUCCUAAAGGCUUGGCAUUGAGGAUGCCUUCCACUUCGAUUAGGAGUGUGAGCAGAACCUCUUCUUGGAGCACUUGUGCACCUAUGACCACUUGCAGGGAUUUCUUGACUGAUUGAAUCUCACGCUCCCAGACACCACCAAAGUGGGGAGAUGCUGGUGGGUUAAGACGGAACUUAAUCUGUUUUUCUGCAAGCCGCUCCUGCAACUGUGAUUCCAUUGCUGCAAAGGCCUCCUUCAGCUCCUUAUCUGCUCCUCUGAAGUUAGUCCCCUGAUCAGAGAGGACCUCAAAGGGAGUGCCUCUCCGUGCGAUGAACCGUCUCAGUGCGAGGAGGAAAGCAUCUGUGUCGAGGCUGGUUUCUCCAAACAAACCUCAGCAACGGCUGGUCCUCCGGUAGCAGCCGAACUUGGUGGAACAUGGCUCGGAUAUCUCCACUGAUGGCGACAGCGUGCUGGCGGAACCGCAGGAGGACCCCGAUGAGAGAUGGGCCGAGGGUUGGACCUGGGAGAAGCUGCUCAUUGAGAGAGAGACCACCAUGAUUAAAGGAGCAGUCAAAGACAAGGCGAUGUUUGCCAUUAUGAUGGACGAGGUGAUGAGGUAUGAACCAUGACUCUCUGGAGCUGUUUCCCUCUCCCUCCUGGAGCUUUGUGACACACCCACCAUCUAUAAGCUUCUGGAUCUCUGCUUCAUAUAUUUUAGCUUUGACAGUGUCUUUAAGCAGUCGUCUCUCUGUACUGCGUAGCUUUGGCAUCACUGCUUCAACAUCUGCUUUUAGUGGUGGUGCACCUUUUAUCCGGAGCAGGGGUGUAGUGUAGCGAAGUGUGUCACCAACCUUCACUCUCUUAGUGCGUGCUUCCAAGACGCUCACCGCUUCCUGGUCCAGGCGAGACCGCACUGCUAGCCGCUCGCUACGGAAUGGGAGCACAUCAAGCUGCCAGAGGCGUUCGACUUGUUGGUAGAUGUCAUCUGGUGUAGGCUUGAAGGCGGUGUAGUAGCAUGAUGCAGCGGGGGACUGGGAACCAUCUGGGCCUUGAAGCGUCCAGCCGAGUGCUGUAUGGAUAGCUACGGGUCCUCCCUUUGGGCCAAACCUCACAGGUUCUGUAGCAGUGAUCAGGUGAUGGUAGCGUCUCUGGAGCGCUGCUAUUGGAUAGGAUUGCUCUGUCAGGGUGAGUCGACCUGCUGUGUAGGCCCUCUCAACCAAAUGCUGCUGUGAUGGUGAUGCUGGAGAAGCUACAUGAAAGUCAACUGAUGCUCCAGUGAGGUGAACCACAUCCUGACGAACAGUCCGCAGGGUGAGGGACUCUGCUCUGCCCCUGAGCUUCAGGUCUCGAACUGCAGCUGGGAGUAUUAUGGUGCGUUCAGCUCCAUCAUCGAGGAUUGCAUAGGUCUGCAGUGAUCUGGUCCCAUGACUGAUAAUGAUUGGCACCACCUUGAGGUAUACUUUCCCUCCCUGCAUCGAGUUAGCCGCUGAGGUGCAGUCUUUGGGUGUGAUGAGGAAGAUUUGGGGGCCCGGCCUGGUGAUGUCAUGCAGCACUCUCAGGUGGAUCUCCUGACACUCACUGCAAGGUUUCUUUAAUGUGCAGCUCUCUUCAUCGUGGUUAGUACGGCCACAGUUACGACAGCGCUUUCCGCCUGCUAUCCACUUCUCAAUUUCCUGUGUUGAGCAUUGAAUAAUGUCUGGACACUGCGACAAGUAGUGCUCUGUACUCUUGCAGAAGAGACACAUCCUUUUAAACUUUUGUUGCUUAGCUGCUGGCCGAGUCGUUUCGGCUGAUUUGGGCUGGUCUGCGCCGUGAUACACAGAAACAGGCCGAGUCCGAGGCCGGGGAGAAGGAACAGGUCUGUCUCGAUUGGCAGGCGGUGCUCCUUCAGCUCGAUGGCGCUGUGCCAUUUUUGCGGACAGUCUCUGAGCUUCUGCCUUCACCUUGAGCCACUCUGCGAGGUCUCUGAGGUUGUAUGGAUUUAGGCUGCUGGUGCUGAGGCGCCCCUGAACCUGCAGAUGCUCCACAAAAUUGUCUCUCAUGUGUCUAGGGAGUUUGCUAAGUAGCCGGUCAACAUGGCCAGUAGACAUCACUUCCAUCCCAUUAGGCCCUUCCAAUGAGGUUAGCAUUCCCACUAGCAAGUCAACGUUGAGGGCGAAGCUCUGGAAGGCUUUGGGGUCUCCUGAUUUGACAUCAGGAGAGUUCAGGAUGGCUGCAAUCUCACUUUGUGCCAACUGAUGUGGCUGCCCGUACUGUCUCUGCAAAGCCUGCAUGGCGGCGGUGUAGGGCUGUACAUAAUGUCUGUGUGACUGAGCUAUUAGCUUAGCUUCAUCCAGGAUCAAGUGUUCCAUAAGCACACGGUAUUUGUAAUGUUCAGAAAGUUCAGUGUGUGGAUUGAGCAGGUGAUCUAACGCCAUUUUUAAAUCAGCAAACUCUCUCUCACUGUCAUGCACCAACUUAGGCAGUUCAGGUAUUGGAACAGGCUGUCUGGGGGACUGGGUAGUGUAAGGUAC
This is a long non-coding RNA of Entelurus aequoreus (snake pipefish), 2756 nucleotides long. RefSeq lists it as uncharacterized. Lineage: Eukaryota; Metazoa; Chordata; Actinopteri; Syngnathiformes; Syngnathidae. The record is from RefSeq and is a predicted model, not a curated record. The transcript is spliced from 3 exons.